CACGUAGUUAGCCGGGGCUUCUUAGUCAGGUACCGUCAUUUUCUUCCCUGCUGAUAGAGCUUUACAUACCGAAAUACUUCAUCGCUCACGCGGCGUCGCUGCAUCAGGGUUCCCCCCAUUGUGCAAUAUUCCCCACUGCUGCCUCCCGUAGGAGUCUGGGCCGUGUCUCAGUCCCAAUGUGGCCGUUCACCCUCUCAGGCCGGCUACUGAUCGUCGCCUUGGUGGGCCGUUACCCCGCCAACUAACUAAUCAGACGCGGGUCCAUCUCAUACCACCGGAGUUUUUCACACCGGACCAUGCGGUCCUGUGCGCUUAUGCGGUAUUAGCAGUCAUUUCUAACUGUUAUCCCCCUGUAUGAGGCAGGUUACCCACGCGUUACUCACCCGUCCGCCGCUCAGUCAAAUCACUUCUCCUCCCGAAAGAAUCAAAGCAAAGUGCUUCGCUCGACUUGCAUGUGUUAGGCACGCCGCCAGCGUUCAUCCUGAGCCAGGAUCAAACU
Molecule: ribosomal RNA, 499 nt
Filed under: uncultured Eubacteriales bacterium
Lineage: Bacteria; Bacillati; Bacillota; Clostridia; Eubacteriales
Description: uncultured Clostridiales bacterium partial 16S ribosomal RNA
Source: RNAcentral